This is a regulatory RNA element of Caulobacter henricii, 92 nucleotides long. It matches the Rfam family "Glycine riboswitch aptamer". From Rfam's summary of the family: This family represents the bacterial glycine riboswitch. Glycine riboswitches usually consist of two metabolite-binding aptamers domains with similar structures in tandem. The aptamers cooperatively bind glycine to regulate the expression of downstream genes. The record is from Rfam. NCBI's taxonomy places the organism in Bacteria, Pseudomonadati, Pseudomonadota, Alphaproteobacteria, Caulobacterales, Caulobacteraceae.
CUGACCCACGCGGGAGACAUCGGGAUUCGCGUCCCGAGGCCGAAGGCGCAACCGCCCCGGAAACGCUCAGGCAAAAGGACCGCGCGGGUUUA